This 207-nucleotide ribosomal RNA is filed under the name Triticum aestivum (bread wheat). Its description in RNAcentral is "partial small subunit ribosomal RNA". Lineage: Eukaryota; Viridiplantae; Streptophyta; Magnoliopsida; Poales; Poaceae. The record is from RNAcentral.
AUGAGCUAUUCAAGGUCUAUUGGCUUUAUUGCUUAUGUGGUACUUCGACCGCGAAGCCUCGCUUAUGCACCGAGAAAGAUCGUAGAUAGGAAAGAUCUGUUAUGCACCAACGACGACCCCUUCUCUUUACCUUUAUCAUCUCAUACCUCAGUCCAUUGCUGGCUUGAAUGUUGUCUCUCUUCUUCUUUGCUCGCGAGAGUGAAUUAG